CUCUAAUUACCGAGUUUGCCACUUAACUACAAAAUGUUAGCAAUGUGUAUGUAUUGGAAAAAGCUGAAUAAAUUUGUAAGUGUAGUGGUGUAUGAGUUAGCUCCGUCUUGUAGGGUCCUUUCUGGAUAAUACGAGAUUAUAAAAUUAUCUUGUUUUAUACAACUAGAUUUUCGGUGUUAUUCCUAAGUUUAUCGAUAAUUUUGCGAAGAAGAAGGGACGUGUCAAAUCCCAGCAAGUCAUGAGUACUGAAACUCCAACACAUUCAAAGAAAUUUUAAUAACACCACUACAUACACACAUUUGCAACAAAGGGCAAAAUGUGCAUAAACAUUUACCUCAACUCUUCUAUCGUACAGCACCCUGAAUGAUAGAAAGAAACAACCAAAGUUCUCGUGUUUGAACAGGUUUUGUUUUGAGCUAUAUCAUGGCUGCUUGUGAAGUAUUAUUUUGCGUGUUUUAUUUAAAUCAGUGAUCUGCAGCCUAAUUAAAGUUUAAAUUAUUGAAGCAUGCAUUUUUAAAUAAGUAAAUCGUAAAAUAAAAGUUUUCUAAAGCCAAAAGUUGGAAUUGAAGAGUGCGACACAGUAAUACUUCAUUGCACUGCCAAUUCGAAGCUGACAAUAGAAGCUACGCCAACAAUGGUCAACAUCAUCGAAACCAUUGAAUACAUAUUUCAAAACUCAUAUGGCGCGUUAAAGGUACGCAAACUUAUUGGUGUCACUUAUGGUAGCAGCGAAGAUCUUUCGAAGCGAUGGAAUAUAUGCUGCAAGCAAAUCCAGGACAAUGGAUGCAAACGCUGCUACAUGGAACACAAAUCAUUUACACACCAGAUAUUAGGUUUAAAGUCACUUUUUACGUGCAAUUAAACCUUUUGCUCAACACAAGCACGAGAAUUGGAACGACAUGGUUUAGGUGAUUUUGUAACCGUUUAUUAUCGCGACGUGUGUCAAUUGGGUUUUGCCAAUGAGCAAAGCAGAUGCAGUAUUUUUGGACUUACCGGCACCUCAGUUGGCCAUACCAGCAGAUGAAACAUAGAAGUCAGAGGGUAAAUUUAAGUGAAUGUUUGUGAUCUUUAAAAGAAAAAAUUAAUAGCCCUAUUCUGAAAAAACCUCAUAACUGAGUUGUGAGGAAAAAUUUGUGAGGUUUCUCGUGACGUAUAUUUUGUGAGUCUAUUCUGGCUCGAACCUCAUAAGAAAAAAGCUUAAAAAAGUCACCAAUUGAGGUGAAAAGCAUAUUGCUGUCAAACAGUUGUUUCAAAAGAAAUAAAUUCAAAAUAAAUACAAAUUGAUGUAAAAUUUGUAAACAAAUGAAGCAAAUGAAAUUGCGUAUUUUCAGUCGAAAGUUAAAAAACAAAAGAAUUAUAAAACAAGUAAGGAAGAUAUGGUUUUUGACCCAUAAGUGGGCGGAACCACGACCAUUUACAAUUUUGUAUACCAUUUUGAGAGCAGCUGUUCUGUACCAUCUUCACAAUGAAAUUUAAGGUUUCUGGUGGUUUUCUUUACUGAACUUACUGCAUUUUUAGUAAUUUUCAAUAAACCCUUUGUAUGGGAGGUGGGCGUGGUUAUGACCCGAUUUCCUUCAUUUUUGAACGGUAUAAGGUAGUACCUUAAUGAAACGACUCUAGAAAGUUUCCUUUAUAUAGCUUAAUUAGUUUGCGAGAUAUGUUCAAAAAACUUAGUAGUGGGCGGGGCCACGCCCAAUUCCCAAAUAUGCAUCCAAAUAUGCCCCUUCCUGGAACAAUCCUUUGUACCAAAUUUUCGGUUAUCGCCAUUUUGUGGGCGUGGAAGUGGUCCGAUUACGCACAUUUUCGAACUUAACCUUCUUAUGGUGCCAAGAAAUACGUCUUCCAAAUUUCAUCAAGAUAUCUCAAUUUUUACUUCAAGUUACAGCGUGCACGGACGGACGGACAGACGUCCGGAUUUGAACUUUUUUCGUCAACCUGACCAUUUUGAUAUAUAUAACCCUAUAUCUAACUCGUUUAGUUUUGGACUUGCAACCAACCGUUAUGUGGACAAAACUAUAAUACUCUCGUAGCAACUUUGUUGCGAGAGUAUAAAAAUAACCUGGGUGUAAAUCAUCGUCUAUAGAGGCUGUGCGUCAGUGUCCUUUGCUUUACAAAAAUAAUGCGUCCUUAUCGGAUCGUAGAUGUGGUUGGCACGCUCAACAAAUGAAAAUGCAAGGUACGUCCAUAUUGCUCCAGUUUCGGUUAAACACAAUUAUUGGAUAACUGAACUUUUAUAGAGGCCAUUUUUUUCAAAGAACAAUUCCUCCAUGCUCGUUAUAGCACGCAAAUAUUUACACAUUUGUUUACAAAUAUUGCUAAAAACCAAAACAAACACAAAUAUUUUUGUAUUGUGAUGGCUGCUUUCACACGUCACAGAUAUUUGAGAAAAUUGUGAGCAUUUGAGCUUUUGAAUUUCCUCCAGCAUAAGGUAAUCAUCACAAAAUCCAAAAACCUCACAAUAGUGAGUGUGGUGAUUUUUGUGAGGGCAUGAGAAUAGGGCUGUAAAUUAAAAAACUAGGAGGACCUUUUUGAUUCAUUUUCACCUUGUAUUGAGGAAUCAUAACGUUGUUGUAUCACUUUACAAAGACAUGGAUUCACCGAAAUUAGUUCAAUGGAAAUACCACAGCAAGAGCAUGGAUGUUAUGACUAGAACGUUGUCAGUGCUAGAUUUAGAAUAAUAAACACCUAAAUGACAUGAUAUUUUCAAUAAAUAUGAAAUAUAAUUAAUGAUUUUGUUACUAAAUUCUUAUUUUGUAUUUUGGUUGAACUAACCGAAAAUAGCGGGUAUAGUUUCAGGUCUUUUGUGGGUCGCAGUACUGAAAGUGCACGUGGAGUUCUGGUUAGCAGUUUUGGUUCUUUCAUCCGUAAUAGUACCAAGAACAGUACUGAAAGUGCACAUGUAGUUUUCGUUCGCAGUUUUGGGUGUUUCAUCCGUGAUUGUAUCAAGAUCAUUCACAGAAUUGUGCAAGAGGUAUAUAUAAAUUGCCAUAUGAUGAAUGUAAUGUGCAAGAAAGGUAUGAGCGAUCUCACGUACACAAUAGUUUCGGGUACUUUUGUCAAUUCAACACGUUUGACAAUUGAUAAUCUCAUUUUGCUAUAUGUAAACGGUUUUGAAUUUUUGAAUGUAUUGAAGGAGCUUAGAACGAGAUUAUUUUCAAAUGUAAACAUACUAUUUGUUAUGACCAUGUAAAAUACAUAAGAGCGAACAGUAUAGAUGUAUAGUUCAUUCAGUAGGGAGGUAAGGAAAAUGGUGGCACCAUCAGGAAGUGGGGCGAGUAACGCCGAAACCUGACCAUUGUUCGAUAAUAUGAGCUUUUUAAAACAAUAUAUACAGCCCAGACCAAAUGGUUGCACCACAAACAUUUUAGAUGAUAUGUUUUCGCAGGAGCUGUUGGAGCCAAUUAGUUUUGAAUGUUCUCAGACUAAUUUAUCGUCGCCUUCGGAGUUGUCGUUUUCAACUCCGAUCCGGAAAAGAGUAAAGAAAACAAACAGCGAUGACGACGGCUGCUUCAAAGAAGCGUGCGAGCUAUACAAAAGCAUGUGUGCAGAGAGGAGCAAAGGCAGCGAGGCGGUGAGGUCGUUUGGUGUUAUGUUGACCUCUAUCAUGAACGAUAAUAACAUAAAACAAAUGAAAGCAAUACAAGUUUUAACAAAUUCAUUAUUUGCUAUUAAAUCGGAACCCGAAUAAUUUUUUUUUUUAUUUUUAAAUCAUUUGUUUGAUGUUUUAUACAUAUAUUGAAUUAAUAUGUAAAAAAGUUUAAAAGGCUUGUUACCUAGACGUAAGAAACAACGAUGUAUCUCAUUUUUCAAAAAUAGUUUUAAAAUGUUUAAAACGCUUGUUACCUAGACGUAAGAAACAACAAUGUACCUCAUUUUUCAAAAAUAGUUUUAAGAAUGUAUUUGAAAAAAAAAAUAAAACAAUUUGUUUUUAUAACC
This is a long non-coding RNA of Zeugodacus cucurbitae (melon fly), 3936 nucleotides long. RefSeq lists it as uncharacterized. The transcript is spliced from 3 exons. The record is from RefSeq and is a predicted model, not a curated record. Lineage: Eukaryota; Metazoa; Arthropoda; Insecta; Diptera; Tephritidae.